Molecule: ribosomal RNA, 973 nt
Filed under: uncultured Eubacterium sp.
Lineage: Bacteria; Bacillati; Bacillota; Clostridia; Eubacteriales; Eubacteriaceae
Description: bacterial SSU rRNA
Rfam family: Bacterial small subunit ribosomal RNA
Source: RNAcentral
UGAACGCUAGCGGCAGGCUUAACACAUGCAAGUCGAGGGGCAGCACGAGUAGCAAUACUUGGUGGCGACCGGCAGACGGGUGCGUAACGCGUAUACAACCUACCCUUGAAAGGGGAAUAACCCGGAGAAAUUCGGACUAAUACCCCGUAAGUAUUCGAUCGGCAUCGAUUGGAUAUGAGAGAUUUAUCGUUCAAGGAUGGGUAUGCGUGACAUUAGGAAGUUGGUGAGGUAACGGCUCACCAAUCCGACGAUGUCUAGGGGUUCUGAGAGGAAGGUCCCCCACACUGGUACUGAGACACGGACCAGACUCCUACGGGAGGCAGCAGUGAGGAAUAUUGGUCAAUGGACGAGAGUCUGAACCAGCCAUGCCGCGUGCAGGAAGAAUGCUCUAUGAGUUGUAAACUGCUUUUAUACAAGAAUAAUAAGCCAUACGUGUAUGGUGAUGAAUGUAUUGUAUGAAUAAGGACCGGCUAACUCCGUGCUACCCGGGCCUGAAAGUUAGUGACCGGUGGUGAAAGCCACUUUUCCAGCAAUGGACACGAAACUAGGUGCUGCAUGGUUGUCGUCAGCUCGUGCCGUGAGGUGUCGGGUUAAGUCCCAUAACGAGCGCAACCCCUGUCGUUAGUUGCUAGCAGGUAAUGCUGAGGACUCUAACGAGACUGCCGGUGUAAACCGAGAGGAAGGUGGGGAUGACGUCAAAUCAGCACGGCCCUUACGUCCGGGGCGACACACGUGUUACAAUGGAUGGUACAAAGGGUUGCGACAUAGUGAUAUGAAGCCAAUCUCAAAAAGCCAUUCUCAGCUCGGAUCGCAGGCUGAAACUCGCCUGCGUGAAGUUGGAUUCGCUAGUAAUCGUAUAUCAGCCAUGAUACGGUGAAUACGUUCCCGGGCCUUGUACACACCGCCCGUCAAGCCAUGGAAGUUGGGGGUGCCUGAAGUACGUGUGCGUCAAGCAGCGUCCUAGGGCAAAACC